This 504-nucleotide ribosomal RNA is filed under the name uncultured bacterium. RNAcentral's name for it is "partial 16S ribosomal RNA". It matches the Rfam family "Bacterial small subunit ribosomal RNA", at positions 30 to 523 of the family's 1533-position model. The record is from RNAcentral.
AUUGAACGCUGGCGGCAGGCCUAACACAUGCAAGUCGAACGGUAGCACAGAGAGCUUGCUCUCGGGUGACGAGUGGCGGACGGGUGAGUAAUGUCUGGGAAACUGCCCGAUGGAGGGGGAUAACUACUGGAAACGGUAGCUAAUACCGCAUAACGUCGCAAGACCAAAGUGGGGGACCUUCGGGCCUCACACCAUCGGAUGUGCCCAGAUGGGAUUAGCUGGUAGGUGGGAUAAUGGCUCACCUAGGCGACGAUCCCUAGCUGGUCUGAGAGGAUGACCAGCCACACGGGAACUGAGACACGGUCCAGACUCCUACGGGAGGCAGCAGUGGGGAAUAUUGCACAAUGGGCGCAAGCCUGAUGCAGCCAUGCCGCGUGUAUGAAGAAGGCCUUCGGGUUGUAAAGUACUUUCAGCGGGGAGGAAGGCGGUGAAGUUAAUAGCUUCACCGAUUGACGUUACCCGCAGAAGAAGCACCGGCUAACUCCGUGCCAGCAGCCGCCGUAA